GAAGGAACUCAUGAUCUGAGCCACGGGCAGCUUGCAGCACUGAAGCGCGGUCUUCAGGAUGAGGAGGACAUGCACCAGUGGACAAAGGAAGAAGACAUUCCCAAGGUGGCAGAUAGUUGGAGCACAUACUCAGGCACAGAUGUUUGGCAGGGAGAAACAACCAAGUACCUCGUGGAGGCCAGCGCCUUGUUUCCCAGGACUGUCUGACUCCUGAGCCCACUUUCCAUUCUGCCGGCCCUCUCAUUUGCCUGUCUCCUAUGAUGUCCUCCAAUUCUACAUCAUACUGGACCACAAAGGUGGCCAUGAUCCCUGAGCUGGAGAAGGCAGACUGGUCUUGCAGUGAUGGACAGAAGCACUGUAACCUCUGCACUCAGCCUUUUCACCAAUUGGCCAGGCCUCAAGCUCACCACCAGCUGGUACUGGGUCCAGAGAAUGGAUCUCAUGAAGGUGAGGGGAGCUGUUAGAUGAUCAAGAUUUGCCUGCCCCACCUCUCUGGCCCCAGCAGC
This 506-nucleotide long non-coding RNA is filed under the name Capra hircus (goat). RNAcentral describes it as "lncRNA (ENSCHIG00000004231.1)". Lineage: Eukaryota; Metazoa; Chordata; Mammalia; Artiodactyla; Bovidae. The record is from RNAcentral.